This 707-nucleotide ribosomal RNA is filed under the name uncultured Bacteroidales bacterium. Its description in RNAcentral is "bacterial SSU rRNA". It matches the Rfam family "Bacterial small subunit ribosomal RNA", at positions 70 to 771 of the family's 1533-position model. The record is from RNAcentral. Lineage: Bacteria; Pseudomonadati; Bacteroidota; Bacteroidia; Bacteroidales.
UUUGGUUUGCUUGCAAACCAAAGCUGGCGACCGGCGCACGGGUGAGUAACACGUAUCCAACCUGCCUCAUACUCGGGGAUAGCCUUUCGAAAGAAAGAUUAAUAUCCGAUAGCAUAUAUUUCCCGCAUGGGUUUUAUAUUAAAGAAAUUCGGUAUGAGAUGGGGAUGCGUUCCAUUAGUUUGUUGGCGGGGUAACGGCCCACCAAGACUACGAUGGAUAGGGGUUCUGAGAGGAAGGUCCCCCACAUUGGAACUGAGACACGGUCCAAACUCCUACGGGAGGCAGCAGUGAGGAAUAUUGGUCAAUGGACGCGAGUCUGAACCAGCCAAGUAGCGUGAAGGAUGACUGCCCUAUGGGUUGUAAACUUCUUUUAUAUGGGAAUAAAGUGGUCCACGUGUGGAUUUUUGUAUGUACCAUAUGAAUAAGGAUCGGCUAACUCCGUGCCAGCAGCCGCGGUAAUACGGAGGAUCCGAGCGUUAUCCGGAUUUAUUGGGUUUAAAGGGAGCGUAGGCGGAUUGUUAAGUCAGUUGUGAAAGUUUGCGGCUCAACCGUAAAAUUGCAGUUGAUACUGGCAGUCUUGAGUGCAGUAGAGGUGGGCGGAAUUCGUGGUGUAGCGGUGAAAUGCUUAGAUAUCACGAAGAACUCCGAUUGCGAAGGCAGCUCACUGGAGUGUAACUGACGCUGAUGCUCGAAAGUGUGGGUAUCAA